UUUCCUAUAGAAAUCAUUUAGGUCUCUCUCAUCUGGCGGUCUUUCUAGGCUGUGGUGUUGAAGAGGGUAACAUUUAAGAACAUUCUAAGAAGAAACUUUAUUUUCCUGCUUUUGAAUAUGUCAUAAUGUUUUCUCUGAGUGUGUUUAGCAGGAAUAAACUGGGGGCUGUUGCUUGGGUGAUAGUUGGGUCAGUCUUAGAUCAAAGAGGAAGCUGCCAGCCAACUCUGGGCCUUCCCUGGGGCUUGUUUUGGUGUUUCCUUGUCUAACUUUCCUUUUUUUCCUCAAACUUUUUGUGUGCUUUUCUUUUUUUGUGAGACGCUCUGUUCCAAUAGGGGAAUGGCCCUGACUACAUUACUGGGUUUAAGAUAAUGGUUAAAAGCAUGAUCUUUAGAGUUGAACUAAUGUGGGUUUAAAUUCUGACUUUUUCCGUUUUCAGUCCUUGUGACUAUGGACAGUUUAUUUCACCACCCUAAGACUUGGUUACUUCUAGGAUGGACAUAAAAACAGCACCUGUUUCACUUUGCCAGGAUUAAAAACAUAAUUAUGUAAAUCACACAGAACAGCAAUAACACUUAAAAACUCUUACAGAAUGUUUAGUAGUACAGGUUGAAUAUACUUUAUCCAAAAUACGUGGGAUAAACCGUGUUCUAAAUUUCAGAUUUUUUCAGAUUUUGGAGCAUUUGCAUUAUACUUACCUUUUGAGCAUCCCUAAUCCCAAAAUAUGAAAUUUGGAAUGUGAUAACGAGCAUUUUCUUUGAGUAUUAUGUUGGUGCUUAAAAAUGUUUCAGAUUUUGGAGAACUUUGGAUUUUGGAUUUUUGGAUUAAGGAUGUUCAAUCUGUAUUAUCAAUAUACUUAGGAGCGCCAACCCACCAGCAGCAACUGAUGAGUCACAUGACGAUUCCGAACUGUGCUUAGUGGUCUAUGGCGAAACGAGAGAAAGAACAGCCUGGUUCUUGGUUCUAAGGAGAUCAGAGAAAGACGAGACUUACACAUGCAUGGAAAAUGAUGAGCUAAACAGAUGUGAGUCAGUGUUUAAUAAAAUGCUAGGUUGAAUUAGGCAGGUGAUAAGAGGAAUUGAAAUGCAGGAAAGAGAGGUCACUAUGAGAAGUGGGGGCUGCCUACAAUUUACUGUGCAUAUACUAUGUGCCAGGUUUCACUGGGCCUCUCAAUCAUUACCAUAGCCCUGGGGAGUGGACAUUUUUACCCCCACUUUAUUCACAAAAGGGCACUAAGAGACGUGAAAUGAGUCAUCCAAGGCCAUACAGCUAGAAUUGGCAUUUGAACCUAACCUGUAAUGUGGCCGGCAGGCUUGAGCUGACCUUGAAAGAAGGGUAGAGUUCAGAAAGGCAGAGGUAAAAGGGAGCUGCAUUCCUUGGCUUGCAGGUUUGUGGGGCUGUGGAACUGUGCCCAACAGGGAAGACAUUAGGACUGUUGCUUGGGGCAAGAGAAGGCCCCGUUAGGGAAGACUGCCGGGCUUGUCAUGCCUGGCAGGCCGUGGGCAUCAGGGCCAGCCAGUCCUGGCAGGCAAAGACCACAUAUGGCUUCUGUCUUGCCACAGCCAAGAAAUGAAACCUGAUACUCACCCUGGCCCCGCAAGACGCCAGGUAUUUGCCUUCUUAUCAAGCUGGGCACAUUCCAUGGCCAAGUGGCCACCUGGGUGACUUCUGUCAGGGCAGAUCUACUUUAGGCUGUGUGCGCAUUUGCAUUCCUGCCUGUCUGGCAAGUUUUGCAUUUUGAGAGUCUGCCCUGGCUAGAGGGGGGCUGGCAGGAUGGUGUGCUACCCAUACUGCCCUCCGCAGCAAUGGGACUGACGGCACCCUGGGACAGGCACUGCGUCUGGUGUAAGAGGACCUAGGUUUGAAUCCUGUCCUACCUUUCUUAGUUGUAUGACCCUGGGUGGGCCACCUCAUCUCUCCAGGCCUCCAUUUCCCUGACCAUAAAAUGGGAAUGGUUAAAAAACCCCUACUUUUGGUUUCACGUUGAAUAUUAAAUAUCAUAAAGAGGCUGACCUACCUUGGUAGGUGUUCCACAAAAUUAAUUACCAUUUUUAAUGGUAUUAGCUGUUUCUGGAACAUUGAGAGUCCUGAGCUUUAGAACAGGGUACAGGCAGCAGGGUUGGGAAUGGUGGGGAGUGGUCAAGAAUGAAUACAAAAAUGUGGUGUGAAGCUGCCAUGAUACCUGGCUUGCUUACCCUUGGAAGAGCCCCAGCUUCCCAUCCUGAGCUAUGAGAGGAAAUUUGAGUAAGGUUUGGGCUUUUUGGAACUCUAUGCUUCACCUGAUUGCUCAGAAGGGCUGUGUGUUGCAAUGAGACUUUGCCCCUAAAAAUUCUCUGCUGGGCUGAAGUUGGGCUUGAGGAGAGUUUAGCUCAAAUGUAUUACCCAGCUGGGAACUACAUCCCAAGUGAGAGACCAUAGCAAUCAUAUGUGCAAAUGAAGCAUGCAUUUGGACAUUAUGCAUAACAAUAUGCAAAUAAGCAUAAUAUUUUUUAUCUUAUAUCUAGGGCUUAGUGGAAACAGAACACAAUAUGUGUCAGACACACUUAGAUUUAAACCACAGCUUGCCUCCUGUAUGAACUUGGGCAAGCUCCUUAAUUUCUCUUAGUUUCCUUUCUCAUGUGAGGAGGGCCAUAUUCCUUUACCUUUUGUUUCUCUAGGCACUCGCAACAGCCGUGUAAGGUUGGCAGUAUUAUGAUUAUUAUCACGAUGAGCAAACAAUCUCAGAUCACUUAAGUUGUUUGGCCAAGUUCACUCAUCUAAGAGACCCAGGGUAAGAACAAGGUCUUGCACUAGGAUCAAGCCCUACCUGUUGAAAACCUCAGCCAGGUCCCCAGGGACCCUGACAAAGGAGUCCUGAGCUGGCUGUCCAGUUGGAGACCUUGAGCCCUUCCUCAGACUUCCCAAUCCCUGUGCUUUUCCCAACUAAAUUCCUGUUGUCUGGUGAUACCAACUGGAUAUUUGCAUAGUGUAUCUCAGAGAACAAUCUCAGGCCAAAACCCUGAUGUGUUAUGAGAGGCUGGCUAAUGAUAUCAGGCACCAUUUUUCUGUUGCCGUGGAGCAGAUGGGGUAGAUUGACUAUUCCAGGGGGGUGUAAAAAUUUUCUGGAUAGCUAUUGCUAAGAAAGCUCAUAAAUGGGCUGCAAGGUGUUUCUAUGGGGACCUUUAUUGGGCUUUAUGAAGAGUCACUAGGGAAUCAUCCAAAGGGCCCGAGGUUUUGAUUUUGACUAUUUCAGCCUGAAGUCAACUUUAUUCUCAAAAACCUGCCUGACCAGCCAACAGCUCUGAUGAACACAACACAAAAUUGGGUGACAGUGGAGACAGUAGUUCUGGUUAAUUCUGGGUUUCAGAAAAUGGAACGACUCCUUAGAGGUGGCAGACCUGUAGAUCAAAUAGGAAUUUUAUUUUCCUCAGUAAAUGAGGGGAAAAUCCAAAGUGGCUAGAGGAGAUGCUGUCGCUUUUGUGAAUGCAUUCUUAGUGUUUUCUUCAUUUGGCCUUGCACUUGUUAGCAGGAGCACGUGGAUGCUGACUGCGGUGAGGUGCCAGGGGAAGAGGAAGAGAGGCUGCACGAUGAACUGCAUUAGGCCAGGAAGAGCAGGUUUCUACUAAUCAGGUUGCACACCAGCGUGAGAUCUCAGUUUAAUGUUUUGUCAAAGAAGCAAGAUUGUCACAGGUAAGGACUAAAACUAAGGUAUAAAAAGAAAGGAGAAAGGUUGAGAAGAAAAAUGAAGAGGAAAAUCAAGGAGGCAGAGGAGGAUAAAGGAAUGAAGGGAGAGAAAACAAAAGAAAAAGAGGGAAGGAAAGAGGAGGAAAAAGAGUAUGGAGGGUAUUCCAUGACUACAUCACAAGCAACGAUGGAGAGAGGAGGCUGGAGAAGAGGCAGGUGAUGGUUUCCUGAGUCAGCCCAGGGCUGGAGACACAGUGGUUUGAUUGACAGUUUUGGAGGCUUCCGAUUAGGGCUUAGGGGCUGCUGACCUCUUAGUUUCAGCUCCUCCUCUUACUCCCCCUAUCCUUCCUGCUUCAUGGGGUAUAGGUGAAGGGAAUAGAGGACAAAGAAUAUUUAUCAAAGUUUUCCUUUAAGAAAAGGUAACUUAUCUUAGUCCUUUUGUUCUGCUAUAACAGAAUUCCCGAGACUAGGUAAUUUGUAAAGAACAGAAAUUUCUCACAGUUCUGGAGGCUGGGAAGAUCAAGGCACCAGCAGGUUUGGUGUCUGGUGAUGGCUGCUGUGUGCUCCCAAGAUGGCGCCCUCAUGCUGCAUCCUCCAGAGAGAAGGAACACUGUGUCCUCAUGGCUGAACACGGAAGGGCAAGUGGGGGCCAACUCCUUGUGCCAAACCUCUGUAUAAGGGUACUUAAUUCCAAGCCCGAGGAAGGAGCUCUCAUGGCCUGAUCACCUCUUAAAGGCCUCAUCUCUUAGUAGUAUCACAUGGGCUGACUUUUGAAGGGGACCCAUUUAAACCAUAGCAUAACCCAAUUCCGCCCUUCCCAGUGUGAUAAGCUGCCAAAACCCAUCAUGUCUGUCUCUGAGUGAGCGUCUCUUCUUUGUGGCUUUUAAAGUGAGUUGUUUCCUUUUUCCUGGGGUGUCAGGUUGCAACACACAGUGCCUGCUUUCGCGUCUUCACAGGUUUCUCUUCUUUUCAUCAAUGCUUGUGAUGUACUCACGAAACAGAGUCCAUACUUUUCCCCUUCUCUCCUUCCCUCUUUCUCUUUCUUUUCUUUUUUAUCCCUUCCUUUCUUUAAUCUCUGCCUCCUUGAUUCUCCUCUUCUUUGCUCUCUAUCUUUCUCCUUUCUCUGUAUACACUAGUUUUGGUCCUUACUUCUGACAAUCUUGCUUCUUCAAUAAAAUUGUGGGCUCCCUGAGGCCAGCAACCAUGUCCUGGACAUUUGUCCACAUGGUUCUCAGCGAGGUUUUGACCUUCCUGGUCUGUGACUUUGCUGCAAAUACCAAGGCAAGAUCACUGUCUUUCCUCACCCAGCCCUCCUGGGAUGCAUUUUUUGAUUCUUUGAGCUGUCUGCUGUUGAAGCAGCUUUGGUAGCUGAUGGUUGCCUUGUCUCUUUCCUGGAUGGCUGGUGCCUACUCUCAGCCCAGUGUUAGCAGCCACAGCUGCUUGUUUUGGCCGCACAGACCCUUUUUCAAAGGAAAGAAGUGGUUUUGGAUAGCAAGCAGGCAAGUCUAACACUCCCCCUUCUCUGCAUUUCUUUAUUCCCUUGCAGGCAACAAGAAUUCUUGGUGGCUGGAAAAACUAAAAAUAUCUCUGAGCCUUACAUUUCUGACUCACCGUGUCUGAAAACUGAACAAAAACAAACAAAACCCAAAACAAAUUCUCUAGCUCUACUCCUAGGAUAUUAUUGCAGACAAAUACCAUUAUCCAGAUUUCAAAGAGUGAAACCUUGGCUUUUCGUUGCUUGGGUUAUGACCAUGAUGCAGAGAUGCAUGAGAGUAGGAAACAAGAAGUCUCCAGAGAAGGGUGGAUUCGAAACCUUAAGGUUAAAUAGCUAAUGUUGCUGGUGCCCUUGAUACGUACCAGGCACCGGCACCAGGAUAACUGCUUCACAUACAUUUUCUUUUUUCUUUUUCUUUUUUUUUGAGAUGGAGUCUCACUCUGUCACAAGGCUGGAGUGCAGUGGCACGAUUUCAGCUCACGGCAACCUCUGCCUCCCUGGUUCAAGCGAUUCUUCUGCCUCAGCCCUCCCGAGUAGUUGGGACUACAGGCAUAUGCCACCAUGCCCAGCUAAUUUUUGUAUUGUUAGUAGAGACGGGGUUUCACCAUGUUAGCCAAGAUGGUCUUGCUCUCUUGACCUUGUGAUCCGCCCACCUCAGCCUCCCAAAGUGCUGGAAUUACAGGCAUGAGCCACCGCAACCAUUUUUUUUUAAUUUUUUUUAUUUUUUGAGACGGAGUCUUGUUCUGUCACAAGGCUGGAGUGCAGUGGCACAAUCUCAGCUCACUGCAACCAGCUUCACGUACAUUUUCAUUGAGUCCUCAAACAACUGUAGGAGGCAAGCCAAUGUUCCAUAUAUGCCCAUUUGUAAUGAGAAAACUGAGGCUUAAGAAAGGCUAAGUAGUUUACCUUAGCUUACAUACCUAGAGAUGCAAACGUGGGAGGGACUCUGGUUCUCAUUCUCUUCUUAGCUCUUAUAUUGUGCUAUCUCCAAAAGGAAAACGAUAAUUUCAAAGUCAUAGAAAGCUUUUAGGAAUCAGGCUCUGGAGGGAGACAAUCUCACCUAAAAUGAGCUCUCAGAGUAAUAAAUCAUCGCAAGAAGAUUCUGAGGUUUGCCUUUAUUUUGUAUGUUUGGGUUCAUUCGACUAGCCCUGUAAAAGUAUGCUGUUUACUUCUGGACACCAUUGCUACAAUUUUUUGUUGCUGUCACUAGGUAAACAAGCCUCUUAAUUCAGAACCAGUGGCACCAGCAUCAACUGGGAGUUUGUUAGAAAUGCAGGGACUCAGGCCCGACCCCAGACCUCCCAAGUGAGAAUCUCCGCUUGAACGAGACCUACAGGCCCAAUUUGUGAUAAUUAUCUGUAAAUGCUGGAAGAAGAGAGGAUUCGAGGGUGCUCAUCAAAGGGACUAAAGGACACUGGGUUCUUCUUGAGGUCUCAAGUUCCUUUAAGGUGAAGCUACAGUGACACAUUUAGUGGGGAGCGGCCAUAGGCAGAGGUUUCCUUAUAUACGACCUCCUUAAACUCUUAGCUGUUGAGUAGCAGAGGUAGGAGUGUUUAUGUAAUUGAGUUAUUCUUAUUGGGCUGAGAAAACCUACACUUGUUUGAACUGCUUUCUGGGAAGAGAGAAGGGGAGGGAAGCCCCUGUCGGCUGGAAACUAAAGGAACAGAGCAAAGGCAUUAUUUGAGUGCCUCGGGAUGUUCUGUAUUCCAUCUAACAGUGCACUAAAAAAAGAUAAGUUCCUGAGAACAAUUCUGAUUCUGUAGUUCAGUUUAGUUACUUGGCGAUGAGGAACUGGAAUAAAUGUGAAGAACAAACUCUUGGGACAAUAUAGCAGAGAGUAGAGAGUUCAGAAAUGAAGACAACAUUUGCGCUUGUUUUCUUGCUGGGCUUGCAUGUGGAGUGACUAUGCCUUUUUCACCUUCUGAUUGGUUGGAUUCCAAUUAAAUGGUGGUGCCUAUCUUAACCCCUGAAUCAAGACUGAAAGACUUUUGAGAUGGACUUUUGAAAGAGUGUUUGAGGGAACUGUAAUGCCGGCUGUACUGACCUGCAGAAGAUGGUGCAACUGGUUCUGAAAGGCGGACACUGCUGCCUCCGGACCGCUGUCAAAGCAAGAAUAUCACCGUGAAGCAGGCUGAAAGAAAAGCUCUAAAGGGAAAGCUAAGACAUUUUGAUGAGGACGAUGUUUCUUUCUGCUGUAAGGAAAAGCUGUGGAAACACCCCCGGACUGAAAUGCCCCUGGCCCGCCUGACCCGACCCCAGGAGAAGCAGUCGAGUUACCUGACAUCGUGGUCAGCAGGAGCUGGGUCGGUGGCUGGAUGCUGCAGCUGCAGGGACUCAGCGCCUGGGAGGGCUCCUGGGCAGGGAGAGAAGCAGAGAUGCAACAUUUUUAAAGUUUCACAAAGCAUCCGGCUGCACUCAGGUCCCUGGAGCAGGAGACAAACAGAAUUAAUGUUUUAUACCUUCGGGUAUAGGUUUGAGUUUUUUCCCCCUCAUGCCAAGUAUUUAAAACCUCUAGAAACCCAUGAUUUGACAAUCAAUGAUUGCGCGAUACUUUCAAUUUGAAUAUUCAAAGGCUUAACAAAAUGGACUAUCUUCUGCAGAAAUCCUGCACACAGGCACCCCACAGAGAGUCCAGAGAAACAGGGAGUGAGACCCCUUUGGGUCCUGGCCCUUGCUUUUAUUAUAUUUUGAGCAUUUUGUCCUCCUUCCCACAGAUAGAGCAGAUGUCCUCAAAGAUGCUCUGUAUUUCAGCCUUCAGGGCAGCUAGGGAGCCAUGAGUGACUUAGGCUGCCCUGGCCAUGAACACCAGAGCCAGACUGGCUGCCCAGACUGAUUCCCGCAUCCCCCAUCUGUGUUUUGAGGGGAAAUCUCAGGUUUUGGGGAAUGAACAUGGCAGCUAGUGGGUGUGGCACAGCAAGAAGUCGCUCUGGGCCCAGGUGGCAGGCCAGCGGGCCUAGCAGAGGCCUUUGCUCUGCACCUCCUAUUUUUCUGGCUCCGCCUGGCUACCAGCGGGCUUCCCUCGCCCUUUCAUCCCGCUGCCUAUUAAGACCCUUUGCUCCUCCCCACAGAGCUGGGAAUGCCAGGAGCCUCAUCCUCUGGAGACUUUCUGACUCUGGGUUUCACCACUGCACUGUGAAGUGCCCUCUUUGCUUUUUCUCACUCUAGAGCCACCCCUGCCUUUUUGCUGUAGGAGCACAUGUUAGGAAACAGUGACAAGUUUGGCUCCUGCUCAUUUUAACUGAAAGGACGUGGACUUAGGUACAAGCCUUCUCCCGUUGGGGUGAGAAGGGGGAGGGACUUGGGAUCAGGCUUCUCCCAUGGUCCAGGCCCAAGCCCCUCACUAAUGGCUUGGGAUUCUACUGGGUCAUCUUCUGUGAGUACUUACUGUGCCUCUUCCAUGUGAUUUGGAAGAUGAGGAGACAGGAAUGGUCCACAGAGGGAGAGAGUGCCAGGCCAAGUCCUCUCAUAGCCACCCACCCCCUCCACAGAAGGGGACAGCAAGAGAAGACAGACAGGCAUGGUGGGGUUCCUUUUGCAAAUAACCAUGGUAUUUCCAGGAUUCAAGACCAGGCCAUGGUUUUAGGCCUCUGCUGUUUGUUCUCUGAGUUCUCAGAAAUGCGAACAGUGUAGUUUAGCCCCAAAGGCCUCUAGAAAAAGAUUGGGGUGCCCCCAAAUGUGUCAAAUACAAAGGGAAACUCACAGAGCUUAGGGAAAGGGCAACUGAGAACGACAAGACUGAUAGGAAUUGCUUGGCAGCUGAAACCACAUCUCUGGGAGAGAGUAGCAGGCCUGGGAACACCUGAGGUGGCACCUGGCAGUGGAGGGCAGGAUGGAUGUAUUGAAAUCUGACAGCUUUUGGAGCUUCUUUCUACAAAUGCCCCUGAGCCUGUGUCCUAGGUUUCCCUGAUGGACCAGACCUGAGGAGGGGAAGGACAAUGGGAGUGGAGAUAGCACCUCUCCUCCCUGCAUACCUUCUUCCCCGCUGUGCCUAGGCAUCGCCCCUUCUGAAGGAACAGUGAACCAAGCAGCUUGGAAUCUAGGGAUGGUCUCUUGUCCUCAUAGCUUCUUCCAUUCCUUCUUUUCUUUGCUGCUCUCCUCCUUUUUGUUAUACUCUUUUUUUUUAUUUGCUUUUAAAAACUUUCUUCUUUGUUGCAUUUUUGUUUACUUCUUUCCUUGUUUCUUUGUCUCUCUUCCUGUCUCUGCUUUCUUCCAUUUCUUGUCUGCACUACUGGUUUUCUCCCUGACUUCACGUGUCUCUGUGUUCCCCUGUGCUGGGGUGUCCUCCCAAUGCUUUCAGGCUUCAUCUCCUUCCUAACCUCUCCUUUCAUGUGGAGAUGGACAGGGAUGGCAGGAGCAUUGAGUGCUCUUGGCAACACCAUUGAAGAUGAUGCUGACGAUCAGCUACCCUGUGGAGAAGGCAGGCCAGGCUGGGUGAGAGGGGAGCUCCUGGGAAGUCAGGGGGUCUGUAAGGACAGCAAGGAUCUCUUUGUCCCAACCCCCAGCAGCCUUUGUGGGUGCUUCUGUGUUGGCCUUGUUUCUGGGAUGGCCAUCUCAGUGCUGUUGCUGGCUAGCAAUUUCGGAAAACUAGAUUUGUCUAGGCCUGAGCCCUGUUUUGAGAAGGAAGCUUCCCUCUGGUUUGUAGCCCAACAUUAAUGAGUUUUGGUUCCUGUUGUUUCUAUAAUUACAAAACUCCAGCACAGGUAUUUAAGAGCCAAAGGCCAUGCUUGUGGAAGUAAGGGAGAAUCUUUCUAAAUGGAUCCUGCAAAUCCUCCUUACAGAUCUGAGUGGAUGAUCAGGCCCAGAGCAACCCUGAGACCCCAGGUACCCACAGCAUUGGCUGUUCUUCAUAGGAGACUCAGAGAAGACCUCAUAGGAGACUCAUUAUUGUUUACUGGACAUCAGGUGCUGUAUUGUGUAGCAUUCACAUUCCACAGUUUGUACGAGGAGACCAAGACAGUGUAGCCUGCUGACUUGAGAAUGUUCUGUAAGGACUGGAAACACUAGAAGCUUGAAGAAACGCCUGGCUGGAGGUGAGGUGGGGCUACGGUGGAGAGGAUUACAGAUAAAUGCCCUCGUCCACUAACAAAGGGCGGCAUUGAAGCUUAUUCUGAAAAUCCAGUCCUGGAUGAGCUGACACACCUAAAACGAUCUUUGGAAUAUACCUCAAGUUAAAGAAAAACCCAGAAGUCCUUUGGCCCUCCCCUCAAUAAGCUCUGCGGCAUUCAUAUGACCCCCAGGCAAUACUCCCGUCUUCUUUCACCCAAGGAGAAGGGUCAUGGAGGGAACCGGUGUCUGCUUCCUCAUCUGGGGAGAGCGGCCCCACCUUAGGCGGUAGGUCGUUUGACACUGUCAUGAAAGGGGUGAAGGGGUAAGGAGGCGGGGUAGGGUACCCUGGAGUGUGGUGCAGAUCUUCCAGAGCAUGCAGCGAGUAGGACUGAGUCCCAGCCAGGGAGGUCCCCCAGCUGGAGCCCCUGUGCUGGGCGAUGCUCCCGGACUCAAGCUGGGAGAGGCAACUCGUGCUGGGUGGCAAGGUCUGCAGGGCAUCGGCAGACACAGGGUCGGGCUGGCUGAGACCGUCGGGCAACGUCUGCUCCCAUGAGUCCCUCUGAGGAGAAUGGAAAGGCCACGGAGGUUAUUCACUAGGUGACACUCUGAUGAUACGUUGCAUGCUGCCAGACUGUGGCUUCAGGGCAGCCUUCGUCCCCUCUCUCUGCUGCCUGAAGCCUGGCUCUCAGGCUGCUCUUCUCUCUGGCUUUUGACACCAGCAGUGAAAGUUUUCCUCCCUUCCUACUCUAGAAUUAGAUUUGCUAUAGCUAUUGAGAUUUCUUUUCCCAGAAGACAACAUUAAAUGAAUGAAAUGUGAGACUAAUAAAAUGCACAUCUAUGCAACA
Long non-coding RNA from Symphalangus syndactylus (siamang), 11046 nucleotides. RefSeq lists it as uncharacterized. NCBI's taxonomy places the organism in Eukaryota, Metazoa, Chordata, Mammalia, Primates, Hylobatidae. The record is from RefSeq and is a predicted model, not a curated record.